UGCGUGUUGUUUUUGCCUCGACACCUGGAGUCCUGCUCAGUCCUAUCGUGUCUUCGCUCCACAGAGAGGUGGAGAAAGAGAGAGAGAUAGCGAAGGAGGUGGUACUGUUUGUUAGCAUGUACGAUUCGGAUUCGAUCUUCCCUGCGUAGAUUGGCUGAACGCAGAAAGCCUUGGAGAUUUCAGCUUGGGAAAGCUUUCGCAGUGUUCGUUUUGGGAGGCAGAAGGCCUCAACUAAGGCUAUUCAGGGAUUCGAGAGAAGGAGGAAGACCAUAACAAAGACGUACUUCGUUGGCUGAGAAUUGCGCAACCGAUUUGCGGUUGGAUAUAACUUUGUUUAGUAUUGAUUUCAAAACUCUCCGAGCUAAUCCAGAUUCUUGAUCUAUACCCAAAAUGACGUUGUAUCUCUAAGGGCAGGAAACCAUCCGGUUCAAAUUGUUUGAUCAAAGUUUUUGAUUCGUUUUUCAUUGCUGGUCAGGAAGCUGGAUUUAGAAAUGGAUAGAAAGAAGGAAUGAAAGAAAGAGAGAGGUCCGUUCGAUCUUUUGUUGUUGGUUGCUGAUCAAAGGAUUGUUGAUAGGGAGAGAAUUGUGUGGUUAUUCAACUGCGAAUUGUUUAUCUAUUGCAGAAAUGGAUAGAAAGAAGGAAUGAAAGAAAGAGAGAGGUCCGUUCGAUCUUUUGUUGUUGGUUGCUGAUCAAAGGAUUGUUGAUAGGGAGAGAAUUUUCAUCUGUUCUUUGUUUGUCGGGUUAAAAGAUUAUUCCCAACCACUAUCUUGCUUCAAGUCAUUUUCUUCAGUGAGUACCAGACCCAGCAAGGGUAACCAAAGCACCACAGCAAGUAAGUUUUCAAAUGUUGCAGAUAUAUAUUCAUCAGGCUUCAUCAUGUACUCAUCAAGUGUGCUUAAUAUCUGGAUGAAGAUUCAUAGUUGAAGGCUACAGACUUUGGCCUGUCAGAUUUUGUGAAACCAGAUGAAAAGUUUUAUCAAAAUUGUUGGUAGUACAUACUGUGUAGCCCCCAAAGUGUUACAUAUGGCUUAUGGUACAGAGGCUGAUGUCUGGAGCGUAGGUGUGAUUGCACACAUUCUAUUGUGUGGCAGCUGUCCAUUUUGGCCUUGAACGAAGUUUGGCAUUUUUCGGGCAGUUCUAAAAGUUGAUCCAAGUUUCAAUGAACCACCUUGGCCACAUUCUCUACAGAGGCAAAAGUAAUUUUGUCAAGCGCCUAUUGAAUCAAGACCCACGGAAAAGAAUUACCACUGCACAAACGUGAAGUCAUCCCUGCCUUGAACAUCAUAACACUGUUAAACUUCCUCUGGACAUAAUAAUAUUCAAGCUCAUGAAGGUUUAUAUGCGCUUAUCACCUCUCCGCAAAACUGCUUUAAGGGGAGUUUUUUGCUCAGCUUUCCAGGUUGGUGUAUCAACAUGGUGUCUUAACAUGACAGGGCCGAUUUUUGUAUCUAUGUUCAAGCCUUUGGGGAUCGUAGUUGCAGUUGCCACUGGUUUUGGAGUGUAGCAUACUCUUUACUCUCUGGGUUCAGAAAAUCUAGAAAGAAAGCACGGGCUAUCUAGCUUAAUUUUGAGUUUAACUACCAAAAAAGAUAAUUGUUGUUUAUGUACUCUAAUCGACUGAAAACACGUAUCAAUAACAAAGAGACCCGCAGCAAAGCGCGGGCUAUCUGUCUAGUUAAUAUAGAAGCAGUCACGCGGAGUGAUACAACU
Rosa rugosa (rugosa rose) is the source of this 1710-nucleotide long non-coding RNA. RefSeq lists it as uncharacterized. The record is from RefSeq and is a predicted model, not a curated record. Lineage: Eukaryota; Viridiplantae; Streptophyta; Magnoliopsida; Rosales; Rosaceae. The transcript has 8 exons.